CGCGCGAGGGGAAGACGCCGCCAGUCCAUGGACGAGCGCCUGAAGGAGGGAGGGCUCCACCAGCACCUCCAUCGCUGCUUCCUCCUCCCCUCCCUUCCUCUCCGCGAUUUCGCGCCGCCAUGGGGCUUUCACCUGAUGAAACCUGUAGCGUGGAGGAGGCCACCAAUGAAGCUACUGCUGCUGCACCAUUUGUCGGUAAAUCUCCUCCUCAUGGCCUCCUUGUCUCCUCCCCUCACUCAUCGUGGCUACGUUUGUCCGUGUUAAUGCUGCUAGGGAUGACAAGAUCGUGAGUCCUCCAGGAGCGUUGGGUGUCAUUUAUAUUGUUCUCCUACCGUGAGGAUGCAAAAGGAUUAGCAUACACCAAUUUUGCACAUCAUUUAUAUACAGGCAAAGAAACUCUCAUGCUCAACGAUUCCGCGAGACCUCCGAUUCUGCAAGGACAUAUGGAUGCAGAGCAUCAGCAGCGAUGUCACUGGUUUGGUUAAAAAGGGCCAACAUGGAAUUGGAGAAGAAGUCACCUAACCAGGUUAUCACGGGUUAACCGGGGUUGGUGUCAGGGAGAGUGCACAAAGAUGGAGUACUCGGUGGACGUAUGGUCAGGGAACCAAAGCCUACUAUGUCACAACUCCUUCGCAUUGGUUGUCAUGGACAACCAGAUCUAAGGUAGCAGCAGAUCAUCUUUCUACAUUCUUCUUCAUCACCUUCACCUUUGGAUUAACUUUGCUUGGAGAUUAGAUGACGUUGUUUUGUAUUGCUUGUGCACAAAAAAUUAUGUCUAUUUCACUUACACUAGCUUCUGUCGAUCAAUGUUUAAAUGAAUUCGUGUAGCCUCUUAUAUAUGGUGCAACAUUAGGUAUUACAAUGAGAGGUAAGCCCUUUGAUUACAAAUAUGUUUUUGAGUGUCAGGUGGAAGGUGAUUGUGACCCACACUUUUGCUCUAUGUUGUGUUAGAGAAAAAAAAUCAGGCCGGAGGAUACAUGUGAGGUGCUCAAUCUGGUGGAUUCGGUUGUGGCAAGUGUGCUGGCCAAUCGGUGUUUGUUUGAAGAGGGAUGGAAAUAAGUCAGUGAGUCAUACAUGCACACCGGAGAAUAUAUGUGCAGAUCUGGGCAAGGUGCUGCUGCAUCCCAGCUUUAGAGAACUUCCUCAAUGGGCAUUCGUAGGUGUUGGCAUGCGUUUGUUUCACAGGUGUGGAACUGAUGGCCUUAUACAUCAACAUGUAGAGUGGUUACUGGGCACAAUGUAGCGGUUCCAUUAUGCUUCUCAUGCCUCGCCUCCUCACUGCGAGAUAUGGUGAAACAUGAGAGGUGGCAAUAUCUAAAGGAAUGGCUGCACUCACCACAAUUAGAUCAUCGGUGGUACUGCCAAAGAUGAUUCAGGUGAUGAAUGGCUUAAUCUGGAUCAAAUGUAGGGCUGCACUCACCACAAAUAUGAUCAUCGGUGGUACUGCCAAAGAUGAUUCAGGUGAUGAGUGGCUUAAUCUGGAGCAAAAGGUGAAUUUGUAUCCCAACGAACCGAGGAUUUACAACAAUUGGUAUUGGAGGUGAAGAAUUUUCUCCCGCAAUGGUUGAUGUUGUUGAAUCAGUUCUUCAAGAGCCAAUUCCCAAGGUUGGUCUGCAUUUGUUGAAGAAAUUUGUCAAUUAAAGGCUGGAGUAUCUGUGAACUGAAGAGGAAUGACGAGGAAUUUUUCGUUCUCGGCCCCUUUGAUUUGUUGGUACAAAUGUCCGAUGUCGUUUGUACAGUGUUGUCAAAGAGGGUUGUAUUUUAUCUGUCAAGAGAGCCCUGUUUUGGAGUUGCUUCCUCAAAUUGGGUCUGAAGAGGUUGGUUCAGCUAGGGAUUUGGACCCGCCACCUGACCUGCCUAAUGAUAAAAGGCCGCUGUCACAGAAAGUUGCGGCAACUGUGGCAAAUGUUCAGACAAAGAAGAGGUCCUAGAUCAAUAGCCUGGAGGGGACCUUAGGUUGGCACUUAACAUUGCUCGGCUCACCUUGUUUUUAUACCGAAGACCUGGGUUAAUUCUAAAUUUGAAGAUGGGCUUGGAUAGCGGGUGCAGAACCUAAAUUUGAAGAUGUGCAAUGCUAUUUCUCGAUUACAAUGGCAAAAUAUAAUAAGUGUUCUAUAGGGCAAGGAUUAUUUUUCCGCUUGGACUAGCUAAGAAGGUCAUAUGAGUUCGGAAAUUCAAUUCGGCUCCCGGAUUGUGGGCUGCUGCAGGCAUAUGCAGUAUAUUCAUCACAUUUAUAUGUUCUGUUUCGAAUCAACUGGACCUAGCGACAACAAGACUGUUAUCAACUGAUCUGUCAGGAGAGUGUUGUUCCAGGAAUCGCUCGCCUCGGAUUGGGUCUGAAGGUGUGUUUCAGUUGGCACCUCCGGUUGAGUUUGAGGAGAUAAUUUUUUUACACAUUGUCCGGUCCUGCAUAAGCUAUGAAACAAUAUGGUAAGACAAAUUUAGAAGCUUUUAUAUAAUCUACAGAUAUCACUUGGCAGGCCAAUAAAUAUCACUUUGGAAAAAAUUUCCUCAGUGAAGCAACCAAAUAUGAAGCAAAGAUUAAGGAGAAAGCAAGGACAAUGAAAACCACUUCUGUAUAACCAAGAUGAUAGUUGGUUGUAUAUAAAUUCUUCUCAGAUAAUGAUUUCGUCUUGGUUCCUUCCUCCAUUACUCUCUAAGCUACAUAGAAAAUGUUUGACAUAAUGUUUAUCAGUGUAAAAGAUGGAGCCCGAACAUCAUAGUAAAAAAGCAUAAGGCGUAGAUCUUAUGCUUUUUACUAUAUUUUGGUUGCACACACUGCCACUGAGCUUAGCAUUUUGCAUCUAUUUGUAUAUUGGUAUGUUUUUUUUUUUGCUACAAUUCCCGAACAAUGGUUAUAUCCGUGUAUCUGUCUAAGAGAUUGCUCACCUAUUUGGUACACUUAGUUUGCUACUCCGUUUGUAGUUCUGUGUGA
Molecule: long non-coding RNA, 2935 nt
Organism: Lolium rigidum
Lineage: Eukaryota; Viridiplantae; Streptophyta; Magnoliopsida; Poales; Poaceae
Exons: 14
Source: RefSeq, a predicted model, not a curated record